Pungitius pungitius (ninespine stickleback) is the source of this 534-nucleotide long non-coding RNA. RefSeq lists it as uncharacterized. Lineage: Eukaryota; Metazoa; Chordata; Actinopteri; Perciformes; Gasterosteidae. The record is from RefSeq and is a predicted model, not a curated record. The transcript is spliced from 3 exons.
UCGUAUUACUCGUAUAAUGCUCGUACUCUGCAAAGGUGCUUCAUCUCGUUUCAGUCUAGUAUCCAGCUCCACUCUAGUUAGAGCCGACUGAGUAAAAACAAACCUCCGACAGGCAGAGACAGGGGAGAACGAACCAAGCAGCGACACGUUUGCUUCGCCUCGCACUGGUUCAUGUUUCGACACAAGCUUCGAAGCAGGAGAGUCGGACACAACAACACUACCGAAAAGUGCGUGAAAGUACUCGAACAAGCUCCACAACUCUCACGUCGGGGUUCCGAGGGGAAGUUUGUCCGGCAGCAGAGCGACGUAAACGGGCUGAUGAACCCGCGGCUACCGGCCCCAAUACUCUGGAGGAGAUGAUCUGCAGCAUCCUGGUGAUCUUCAUCCUGACCUCCUGUGUCUGUGGUCAGUUCACUUUAGUGUUUGUAAAGCAGCUGUGAAGCAUCAGCACACACUCCUCAGAAACAUCUGGAGAUGGAGUCUAAAGGCUCCAUGUUAAAGCUGUCACUUUGUCACCUCCUCCUCUCCUUCUCU